RNAcentral lists this ribosomal RNA (257 nucleotides) under uncultured bacterium. RNAcentral's name for it is "partial 16S ribosomal RNA". It matches the Rfam family "Bacterial small subunit ribosomal RNA", at positions 1243 to 1500 of the family's 1533-position model. The record is from RNAcentral.
AGGGAAGCGAAAUAGUGAUAUAGAGCAAAACCCUAAAAAACGGUCUCAGUUCGGAUUGAAGGCUGAAAUUCGCCUUCAUGAAGCUGGAAUUGCUAGUAAUGGCAGGUCAGCAUACUGCCGUGAAUACGUUCCCGGGCCUUGUACACACCGCCCGUCACACCAUGAGAGUUGGGAAUACCCGAAGCCUGUGAGCUAACUUUUAGAGGCAGCAGUCGAAGGUAGAAUCAAUGAUUGGGGUGAAGUCGUAACAAGGUAAC